UAGAAAUUUACUCAGUCUUUGGAUCUGAAAACUAGUAAGAUUGUUUCUUUGAAAUGACUUAUAUAAUCAGCAUAUGCCAGUUAUGUUAUAGUACACAGAAGUAUAGCCAUAGCUUCAUGGCUUUGGUAAGAGUAGUUAAGACACAAGGUCACCUGUGUCCACAAUGACAGCUCAAGAUUAUAAUCUUACCAUAAUAGGCAUCACCCAAUAAAACUUACCAAAUCUUUAGAAAGGUAAUGUGAGGUACAGAAACUCUGCAUCGCUUCCUUUUAACACUGUCUUUGGC
RNAcentral lists this long non-coding RNA (286 nucleotides) under Bos taurus (domestic cattle). Its description in RNAcentral is "long non-coding RNA NONBTAT018245". The record is from RNAcentral. Lineage: Eukaryota; Metazoa; Chordata; Mammalia; Artiodactyla; Bovidae.